This 471-nucleotide ribosomal RNA is filed under the name uncultured bacterium. Its description in RNAcentral is "partial 16S ribosomal RNA". It matches the Rfam family "Bacterial small subunit ribosomal RNA", at positions 28 to 507 of the family's 1533-position model. The record is from RNAcentral.
GACGAACGCUGGCGGCGUGCUUAACACAUGCAAGUCGAACGAUGAAGCCUAGCUUGCUAGGUGGAUUAGUGGCGAACGGGUGAGUAAUACGUGAGUAACCUACCUUUAACUCUGGGAUAAGCCUGGGAUACUGGGUCUAAUACCGGAUACGACCAAUCUCCGCAUGGGGUGUUGGUGGAAAGCGUUAUGUAGUGGUUAUAGAUGGGCUCACGGCCUAUCAGCUUGUUGGUGAGGUAACGGCUCACCAAGGCGACGACGGGUAGCCGGCCUGAGAGGGUGACCGGCCACACUGGGACUGAGACACGGCCCAGACUCCUACGGGAGGCAGCAGUGGGGAAUAUUGCACAAUGGGCGCAAGCCUGAUGCAGCGACGCCGCGUGAGGGAUGACGGCCUUCGGGUUGUAAACCUCUGUUAGCAGGGAAGAAGAGAAAUUGACGGUACCUGCAGAGAAAGCGCCGGCUAACUACGUG